GCACCUCUCAGCAACCCUGUCGAUUCUGUUCAGUGUUCGAUGCGGGCAGUAGUUGGUGCUAUAGAGAUUCAAUGUAAAUCCAGAUGGACCUCCUCUUCCUAUGGAGCCUGUCUCUACAACUUUGAUACACAA
Small nucleolar RNA from Dicentrarchus labrax (European seabass), 132 nucleotides. Ensembl annotates it as small nucleolar RNA, H/ACA box 55. Its record names the gene SNORA55. NCBI's taxonomy places the organism in Eukaryota, Metazoa, Chordata, Actinopteri, Moronidae. The record is from Ensembl.